Molecule: ribosomal RNA, 450 nt
Filed under: uncultured bacterium
Lineage: Bacteria
Description: partial 16S ribosomal RNA
Rfam family: Bacterial small subunit ribosomal RNA
Source: RNAcentral
GUGGGGAAUUUUGGACAAUGGGCGCAAGCCUGAUCCAGCAAUGCCGCGUGCAGGAAGAAGGCCUUCGGGUUGUAAACUGCUUUUGUACGGAACGAAACGGCUCUGGUUAAUACCCGGGGCUAAUGACGGUACCGUAAGAAUAAGCACCGGCAAACUCUGUGCCAGCAGCCGCGGUAAUACAGAGGGUGCAAGCGUUAAUCGGAGUUACUGGGCGUAAAGGGCGCGUAGGCUGGUAUUUAAGUCGGUUGUGAAAUCCCUGGGCUUAACCUAGGAAUUGAAGCCGAUACUGGAUGCCUGGAGUAUGGUAGAGGAAAGUGGAAUUCUCGGUGUAGUGGUUAAAUACGUAGAUAUCGAGAAGAACACCAGUGGCGAAGGCGGCUUUCUGGACCAAUACUGACGCUGAGGCGCGAAAGCGUGGGGAGCAAACAGGAUUAGAAACCCCAGUAGUCC